AGAGCUUUUCAGCCUUUCAGGGAAACUCAUGUGUAGUGUGUGUUCUUACCAGUUUCUUAUCUGAUAGGUGGCUGCAAGGAUUCACUGUUAAAUAGCAUUGUGGAGACAGGAGAUGCUUUGGGAGCUUGCUGCAGCCGCUUCACACGUGGCCCUGGUAUUGCGAUACCUCCUGGUGCGCUGUUAGCCCU
This 188-nucleotide small nuclear RNA is filed under the name Pelecanus crispus (Dalmatian pelican). RNAcentral describes it as "U2 spliceosomal RNA". It matches the Rfam family "U2 spliceosomal RNA". From Rfam's summary of the family: U2 is a small nuclear RNA (snRNA) component of the spliceosome (involved in pre-mRNA splicing). Complementary binding between U2 snRNA (in an area lying towards the 5' end but 3' to hairpin I) and the branchpoint sequence (BPS) of the intron results the bulging out of an unpaired adenosine, on the BPS, which initiates a nucleophilic attack at the intronic 5' splice site, thus starting the first of two transesterification reactions that mediate splicing. Lineage: Eukaryota; Metazoa; Chordata; Aves; Pelecaniformes; Pelecanidae. The record is from Rfam by way of RNAcentral.